This 412-nucleotide long non-coding RNA is filed under the name Mytilus galloprovincialis (Mediterranean mussel). The record is from RNAcentral. Lineage: Eukaryota; Metazoa; Mollusca; Bivalvia; Mytilida; Mytilidae.
UUUUGUUUAAGGAUGAACUUAGGUGAGGUAAGGUAAAAAAUUAGAAAUUAAGAAAUUAAAUUUGAUACUAUAAGCUGGUAGAUUAAGGAUAAAGAUAAGCUAAAAAUAUUGAUAGGUCAUGGAGCUCCUUUUCGAGAUAUUUGAGAUUUAAAAUAUGGCGGGAAAAGGCUGACUCGGACUUUUACCCUAUAUUUGCAUUGGUAUUAUUUGGGAAUCAAAACAAAAGAAAGAAAAUCAAGAAUCUUCUAAAAUUUUGGUAAAUGACCUUUCAUGAGCUAUUAAGUCUUAUAUGAAAAAAUAAAUGGGUGUUAUGGGGCAAAAUAUUUUACAUUGUAUUGUAUGGAAAAACACCAAGGAUUCCGAACAUUUGACACAAAUUCCAAAACCUCACCUAAGUACAUCCUUAAAUAUU